Molecule: ribosomal RNA, 116 nt
Filed under: Verrucomicrobiota bacterium
Lineage: Bacteria; Pseudomonadati; Verrucomicrobiota
Source: RNAcentral
UUUGGUGGCCAUAAAGCUGUGGUCCGACCCGAUCCCAUUCCGAACUCGGCCGUCAAACGCAGCCUUGCCGAUGGUAGUGGUUGUAUAGCUUCCGCGAGAGUAGGUAGCCGCCAGUU